UACGGGAGGCACCAGGGGGAAUAUUGCACAAUGGGCGCAAGCCUGAUGCAGCCAUGCCGCGUGUAUGAAGAAGGCCUUCGGGUUGUAAAGUACUUUCAGUCGUGAGGAAGGUGUUAAGGUUAAUAACCUUAGCAAUUGACGUUAGCGACAGAAGAAGCACCGGCUAACUCCGUGCCAGCAGCCGCGGUAAUACGGAGGGUGCGAGCGUUAAUCGGAAUUACUGGGCGUAAAGGGCACGCAGGCGGUUAAUUAAGUUGGAUGUGAAAUCCCCGGGCUUAACCUGGGAAUGGCAUUCAAGACUGGUUAGCUAGAGUCUUGUAGAGGGGGUAGAAUUCCAUGUGUAGCGGUGAAAUGCGUAGAGAUGUGGAGGAAUACCGGUGGCGAAGGCGGCCCCUGGACAAAGACUGACGCUCAUGUGCGAAAGCGUGGGGAGCAAACAGGGAUUAGAUACCCGU
RNAcentral lists this ribosomal RNA (455 nucleotides) under uncultured bacterium. Its description in RNAcentral is "bacterial SSU rRNA". It matches the Rfam family "Bacterial small subunit ribosomal RNA", at positions 340 to 789 of the family's 1533-position model. The record is from RNAcentral.